This 277-nucleotide long non-coding RNA is filed under the name Elaeis guineensis (African oil palm). RNAcentral's name for it is "long non-coding RNA (EGUI_LNC028134)". The record is from RNAcentral. Lineage: Eukaryota; Viridiplantae; Streptophyta; Magnoliopsida; Arecales; Arecaceae.
CUCAUCUAGCGUGCCAAAGUUGAAGUUUCUACAAGAUGGAGAGAUUUUCGAAGACUUUUGAGAGUGUCCAAGUCAUUUGAAAGCGUUUGAAAGUAUUCUAAUAAGUUAUGAACUUUAAAUACAUAAAAAACUAAAUUGGCACAAAAUGGGAUGACCCAUCUGGGUCAUCCCCUUUAAUUGGAUAGUCGGCACGCUUCAUUUUGGAUCAUGACACGCAGUAGAAUGAUCUACCUAGGAUGACCCAUGCAGUGGGAUGACCUACCUAGGAUGACCCCUG